RNAcentral lists this ribosomal RNA (301 nucleotides) under uncultured bacterium. RNAcentral describes it as "partial 16S ribosomal RNA". It matches the Rfam family "Bacterial small subunit ribosomal RNA", at positions 509 to 807 of the family's 1533-position model. The record is from RNAcentral.
CAGUAGCCACGGUAAUACGUAGGGUGCAAGCGUUAAUAGGAAUUACUGGGCGUAAAGCGUGCGCAGGCGGUGAUAUAAGACAGAUGUGAAAUCCCCGGGCUCAACCUGGGAACUGCAUUUGUGACUGUAUAGCUAGAGUACGGCAGAGGGGGAUGGAAUUCCGCGUGUAGCAGUGAAAUGCGUAGAUAUGCGGAGGAACACCGAUGGCGAAGGCAAUCCCCUGGGCCUGUACUGACGCUCAUGCACGAAAGCGUGGGGAGCAAACAGGAUUAGAUACCCCUGUAGUCCCUGUCUCUUAUAC